RNAcentral lists this ribosomal RNA (403 nucleotides) under uncultured bacterium. RNAcentral describes it as "bacterial SSU rRNA". It matches the Rfam family "Bacterial small subunit ribosomal RNA", at positions 355 to 775 of the family's 1533-position model. The record is from RNAcentral.
UGGGGAAUAUUGGACAAUGGGGGAAACCCUGAUCCAGCCAUGCCGCGUGAGUGAUGAAGGCCUUAGGGUUGUAAAGCUCUUUUGCCAGGGAAGAUGAUGACGGUACCUGGAGAAUAAGCACCGGCUAACUUCGUGCCAGCAGCCGCGGUAAUACGAAGGGUGCUAGCGUUGUUCGGAAUCACUGGGCGUAAAGCGUGCGCAGGCGGCCAUUCAAGUCAGGGGUGAAAUACCUGGGCUCAACCCAGGAACUGCCUUUGAAACUGUAUGGCUAGAGUCUCGGAGGGGGUGGCGGAAUUCCUAAUGUAGCGGUGAAAUGCGUAGAUAUUAGGAGGAACACCAGUGGCGAAGGCGGCCACCUGGACGAGUACUGACGCUCAUGCACGAAAGCGCGGGGAUCAAACAG